Molecule: ribosomal RNA, 460 nt
Filed under: Bifidobacterium dentium
Lineage: Bacteria; Bacillati; Actinomycetota; Actinomycetes; Bifidobacteriales; Bifidobacteriaceae
Description: bacterial SSU rRNA
Rfam family: Bacterial small subunit ribosomal RNA
Source: RNAcentral
GAUGAACGCUGGCGGCGUGCUUAACACAUGCAAGUCGAACGGGAUCCCGGGGGUUCGCUUCCGGGUGAGAGUGGCGAACAGGUGAGUAAUGCGUGACCGACCUGCCCCAUACACCGGAAUAGCUCCUGGAAACGGGUGGUAAUGCCGGAUGCUCCGGUUGGAUGCAUGUCCUUCCGGGAAAGAUUCUAUCGGUAUGGGAUGGGGUCGCGUCCUAUCAGCUUGAUGGCGGGGUAACGGCCCACCAUGGCUUCGACGGGUAGCCGGCCUGAGAGGGCGACCGGCCACAUUGGGACUGAGAUACGGCCCAGACUCCUACGGGAGGCAGCAGUGGGGAAUAUUGCACAAUGGGCGCAAGCCUGAUGCAGCGACGCCGCGUGCGGGAUGGAGGCCUUCGGGUUGUAAACCGCUUUUGAUCGGGAGCAAGCCCUUCGGGGUGAGUGACCUUCGAAUAAGCACCGCA